UGCGGUGAAUACGUUCCCGGACCUUGUACACACCGCCCGUCAAGCCAUGGAAGCUGGGUGUACCUAAAGUCGGUAACCGAAAGGAGCCGCCUAGGGUAAAACUAGUAACUGGGGCUAAGUCGUAACAAGGUACCC
Molecule: ribosomal RNA, 135 nt
Filed under: uncultured bacterium
Lineage: Bacteria
Description: partial 16S ribosomal RNA
Rfam family: Bacterial small subunit ribosomal RNA
Source: RNAcentral